This 360-nucleotide ribosomal RNA is filed under the name uncultured bacterium. RNAcentral's name for it is "bacterial SSU rRNA". It matches the Rfam family "Bacterial small subunit ribosomal RNA", at positions 29 to 417 of the family's 1533-position model. The record is from RNAcentral.
AGCGAACGCUGGCGGCAGGCUUAACACAUGCAAGUCGAGCGGGCGUAGCAAUACGUCAGCGGCAGACGGGUGAGUAACGCGUGGGAACGUACCUUUGGUUCGGAACAACACAGGGAAACUUGUGCUAAUACCGGAUAAGCCCUUACGGGGAAAGAUUAUCGCCGAAAGAUCGGCCCGCGUCUGAUUAGCUAGUUGGUGAGGUAACGGCUCACCAAGGCGACGAUCAGUAGCUGGCUGAGAGGAUGAUCAGCCACAUUGGGACUGAGACACGGCCCAAACUCCUACGGGAGGCAGCAGUGGGGAAUAUUGGACAAUGGGCGCAAGCCUGAUCCAGCAACGCCGCGUGAGGGAUGACGGCCU